Molecule: ribosomal RNA, 301 nt
Filed under: uncultured bacterium
Lineage: Bacteria
Description: partial 16S ribosomal RNA
Rfam family: Bacterial small subunit ribosomal RNA
Source: RNAcentral
GCAGUAGCCACGGGAAUACGAAGGGGGCAAGCGUUGUUCGGAUUUACUGGGCGUAAAGCGUACGUAGGCGGAUAUUUAAGUCAGGGGUGAAAUCCCGAGGCUCAACCUCGGAACUGCCUUUGAUACUGGGUAUCUUGAGUCCGGGAGAGGUGAGUGGAACUCCUAGUGUAGAGGUGAAAUUCGUAGAUAUUAGGAAGAACACCAGUGGCGAAGGCGGCUCACUGGCCCGGAACUGACGCUGAGGUACGAAAGCGUGGGGAGCAAACAGGAUUAGAUACCCCUGUAGUCCCUGUCUCUUAUU